This 301-nucleotide ribosomal RNA is filed under the name uncultured bacterium. RNAcentral's name for it is "partial 16S ribosomal RNA". It matches the Rfam family "Bacterial small subunit ribosomal RNA", at positions 509 to 809 of the family's 1533-position model. The record is from RNAcentral.
CAGCCGCCACGGGAAUACGAAGGGUGCAAGCGUUAAUCGGAAUUACUGGGCGUAAAGCGUGCGUAGGCGGUGAGUUAAGUCUGCUGUGAAAUCCCCGGGCUCAACCUGGGAAUGGCAGUGGAUACUGGCUCGCUAGAGUGUGUCAGAGGAUGGUGGAAUUCCCGGUGUAGCGGUGAAAUGCGUAGAGAUUGGGAGGAACAUCAGUGGCGAAGGCGGCCAUCUGGGACAACACUGACGCUGAGGCACGAAAGCGUGGGGAGCAAACAGGAUUAGAUACCCGCGUAGUCCCUGUCUCUUAUAA